AUGCAAAUAAAGGACGCGUCAAAUAUCCCCGUCGCGCGCACUGCAGAGCAGAGACACACUGGGAUCGCACGAAGGACGCGAAGCACGGGGCACGCGGGGGAAUUUCAUACUACGUCGUCGCCAGGACCCGUCCAAUUGUCACAGCCACCGUUGCCAGAUGAACUGAGGCGGCUCCAGGAUCCUGCAGGCAAGAGGGUAAAAUCACAAGAAGAACCAACCUGCCCAGAUUCAACUGCAUUUUAUUCACCUUGUUUGGAGAUAACGAUACCGUGGCCGUUCUUCCAGAAUACCUACAGAAGACAAGUGUCAACUGUCGCUCUGCUCCAUCUCUGCAAUAUAUCAUAUACUACCUGUUGCUGCUAGUAACAACGGAGGGGAAGAGGGGGAGACACCUUGCGACACUUGGAUCUCUUAUAAACACACUUUGUAGGGAGUUGGAUUUCGCAACCUUUAAUCUUUUGCACACCAAGUGUGUUAUUUUGUCUAUGUCCAUUUUGGGAUAUUAGUGGUUUUAUCAUAUCUAUAGUGUACACGUUUUUAAAGUGCCUUACCGACUGAUAUUAAUCCAGUAUUUGGGCAGUAUUCCAACGCCAGAGACUCAACCAGUGACUAUCACAUAGAAAGGCACAGGAUCUGUCUCUAAAUCCCGGUUUCACCAUGAGUCAGGGGGAUGUGUCAACUUGCUCUGCGCCUCAGAUCGUUUUCCAAGAGGCGGUGAAACAAGGUAACACACAGGAACUCCACUCGUUGCUCCAGAACAUGACAAACUGCGAAUUCAACGUCAACUCCUUCGGGCCCGAAGGACAGACGGCGUUGCAUCAGUCAGUCAUCGACGGGAAUCUCGAACUUGUAAAACUGCUGGUGAAAUUUGGAGCCGAUAUUCGAUUGGCGAACAGGGAAGGGUGGAGUGCCUUACACAUAGCCGCUUUUGGAGGACACCAAGACAUAGUCCUAUACCUCAUCACUAAGGCCAAGUACUCCUCUGGUGCACGGUGAUCUGCUACACUGCUGUCAGGUAAACACACGGAAAGCCAGGCUCUUGUAAAUGAACGUUUCGAUCUAUAGUUGUGCCAAAUUAUAGCCUACAAAACACAGUAACUUCCCUUUCACCAAAACCAAACGGGGGUCUCACUCGUGAGUCGAACACCACAUGGUUCUUGUAUCCGCUUCAGCAUAAAAAACGCCAUUUUGGUGGGUUGGUACUAAAGCUUUUUCCUUGAACGUGUAUAAUAGAUUGGGACGUAUAAAAUAACUAAGCCAGUGUUUGGGUCCCGAGACCUCAUAGCCUAGUUUUACGCAGCGAUAGACUUUCUAUAUUUUUUUGUCGCGGUUACAUUGAAACACUUCUUUAUUGGGAUUAGUAUUGAGGUGUCGACCUGUAGCUGCGGUGGUCACUUGUAGGACCCGUUUAAAUGAUUUUCUAUACUAAAAGAUGGCACUUGUUGCUGUGGCUGCAUGCUGGAAUAUAUGAAAGGGAAGAAAUGGUGAAGACGGGAAAUGAAGGCCAUCCUGUAUUUGGCUAUAAUGUCUUUUUUAAAUUAUAGGAUUUGAUCUAUUUCAAAGAGCAACAUUAUUAGGACUAUAUAUAUACCCAACUGGCAUUUCCAGAUGUGUAAUCAUUGUAACAACUAUUGACUUAAUGUUGUUAAGUACUUUACACAAUAGCUUUACUUUGUUUGUUUAUAAUAAAAGUAGCUAAAUGCACCCUGCCUCCUUCGAGCAGGCUGCUGGCAUGUAUCAAUGUCUUUUCAGGCCAGUGCGACCGCAGUGUCAAUGGUUAAUGUGAUAUAAACCGCUGCUUUCGCUUUGUAUCAAAACGUCAGGAAAGUGGCAUUUGGAAUUCACUUUAAUCUCCUUUCAGUAUUUUAACGAACAACACCCUGGUCAUCACUGUGAAUACAGGCUGGUUUCUAUUUAUGAAGGUACAUUGACAAGAUGCAUUUUGAAUAUUCUGUGGUUAUUCUUUUCAAAUCAAAUCUGUUACGUUUAAGAAUAUUUAGGGUGACUUAUAAAGCUGCUUCAGACUCUAUGCUUAUCAUAGUAUAAACUAUCCUGUGUGGAGACCCCAUGUCACAAUGAGCCUAAAUUUGACCUACCUAAAGAGACUCUUCUUUGUCCCUCAUUAACUUCUUGUUUGGUUUUCUUUGCCAACUACCUCGACUGUAAAGUAUUCAAAAGCAUUGGACUCUUGCUCUCUCCACAACACUCCAGUAUGGACACACAUCCUCUAGCACAGUGGUUCCUAACCGUUUCAGGUUACUGUACCUGAAGUACCCCCAGUAGAUGGGCCAAGAGGGGACCGCUGAUCUAGCCUAUCCCCAAAUCCCAAGCCUGUCUAUAGGCCAAAAUAAUGCUCAUACCCACACAGACAUUUUAACUAAGUUAUUUUAGCAGUAGGCCCCAAGCCAAUGUUAUUCAACCCAGUGAUAUAGGCUAGGAGACAACUAUGCUGUUUCUUCUGCAAAGCAAUAAUGUCUAUUUCAUAUUAAUCAAGCCCGUUUCUUAUCAUCAUCUGGGAUUCAUUUAUUUCCCACACUACAACCAAACUUUAAUCUGACAAGCAAAGCGUUUUUUUUGCCUUUCUGUAAAGGUAUGGUUGCAAACACACAUUGCCUAUUUUUUUUAUUUUUAUGCAUUAUAUAGUCGUUCUGUUUGAAGUUUCUAUUUAGUCACAAAAAUUGCAUUUUAUUGCCUGACUUAUAAAUGCAGGAAGUUUUAUUGCACAAAAUGCAGAGCCUUUUACGCCCCCUGGUGCCUGUCCGGGUGACUGCAGGAGUUGAGGCUCAGAAAUAGUUACUACUGAGCAGUAAAAACAUUUUAUUACUGUCAUGUUAUGAUGACUAACAUCUACAUGACUAUUGCAGGAUAUAUAUAUAUAAAACAAAUGGUUUAAACUGCCUACUGCAUUUUGAAAGUCAUGGCACCCUAAUGUUUGUUUCAAUGCUGCUUGUAUGUUUUAUAUUUGAUUUUACUCAAUGGCCAACAGUAAGUGAAAGACAAAUAUCUGAUAGCAUCACAGUCAUUCAAUGAAAAUCUGUGUGUGUGUGUGUGUGUGUGUAUAUGUCUCUGUGUGUGCUGCAUUCAUCUGACUGUUGUGUGCCGAGUGAGUUGAGCUGUGUUCCCCUUCCCUGGCCUGUGUGGCCUGCUCCUCUCCUCGAGUGUGUGGCCUGCUCCUCUCCUCGAGUGUGUGGCCUGCUCCUCUCCUCGAGUGUGUGGCCUGCUCCUCUCCUCGAGUGUGUGGCCUGCUCCUCUCCUCGAGUGUGUGGCCUGCUCCUCUCCUCGAGUGUGUGGCUUUAUGUUGCUACCUGGGAGUUUUCCCUCCCUACAGUAAGGAGAGAAACCAGGGAUUAAGGAUUGUCCUUCCAUGUACCUGGAAAAGCAAACUAAAGCGAUUAGAAAGAAACAUCAAGAAUAGAUUGGUAUUAGCGGAACAAAAAAAUAUGCAUCGCUUGUCUUAAACCUGAUAUUUUUUAUAUAUAUAUAUAUAUAUAUAUAUGUAUGUAUGUGUAUAUAUAUAUUUUAAAUAUUGCACUGACUGUUGUUGAUUAAGUUGGCUUUUUAUCAAGUCAAAUUGUAUUGUUUUUCCGAAUAGAAAAAAAAAGGAACACAACAAAAUACUAUUGUAUAAAAACAACUCCAGGCUGUAAUGUUUUGUGUGUUAACUUUGUGAAACAUUGUGUUAAGGCAAAGAUUGUUUGAAUCUUUGUGAUCGGGUGGGUAUGUGUUUUAUAUACAGUGCCAGUCAAAGGUUUGGACAACAAGACUCAUUCAAGGGUGUAAAAAACAUAAUAAAGAAAACCCCUGGAAUGAGUAGGUGUCCAAACCUUUGACUGGUACUGUGUAUAUAUAUAUAUAUAUUAUAUAAUAUGCUGAAAUAUCUUGGAGCACUUUCUUUUCUGAAGUGCUGCCUCCCUCCUGUUGUUAUGAAAGGGGAAAAAUACAUUUGAUGGUAAGAUCAUUGUGACAAAAAAAAUUGCACAGCAUGUGGUUGUUCUACUCAAGUGUCAUAACAUUUAUGGCCCGAGAGACGACGACUGGAUAGGUGGAAAUGAAUGAGAGAGGACGACUGGAUAGGUGGAAAUGAAUGAGAGACGACGACUGGAUAGGUGGAAAUGAAUGAGAGACGACGACUGGAUAGGUGGAAAUGAAUGAGAGAGGACGACUGGAUAGGUGGAAAUGAAUGAGAGACGACGACUGGAUAUGUGGAAAUGAAUGAGAGACGACGACUGGAUAGGUGGAAAUGAAUGAGAGAGGACGACUGGAUAGGUGGAAAUGAAUGAGAGAGGACGACUGGAUAGGUGGAAAUGAAUGAGAGAGGACGACUGGAUAGGUGGAAAUGAAUGAGAGAAAGUGCUGACGUUUUUUAAAGUUUUUUGGGGGGGGGGCAUGUUCUGUUUUCAUUUUGCUUUUUUUCGAGCGAAACAAAAACAAAUGUCUGAGUUUAAUGAUUGAUGCUGAAGUUCCAUGGUGUUUUGAUUUUGGGUUUUCUUGUUUUUGUUCUGUAUUUUGUUUUUGAACGUUUGUAACACUGUGAUCAUGAUGUGUGUUGAGAAAAUGAGUGCUGUAAUAUUUUUGUACGUUUGUGUACAAGCCAGUAAAAAAAAUCUUUAAACUCUGUGUGUCUAUGCAUGUUUCUUUUUCCCUACCCCCAGGCAGUGCCAGCCCCCAUUACCCAUAGAGAAGAAUGGUGAGGGGCACAGACCCCCUCUCCCGUUCUCCCAGGCUAGCCCAGAUCCCCUCUUCCCCCUCUUCUCUCCCGUUCUCCCAGGCUAGCCCAGAUCCCCUCUUCCCCCUCCUCUCUCCCGUUCUCCCAGGCUAGCCCAGAUCCCCUCUUCCCCCUCUCCCCUCCUCUCUCCCGUUCUCCCAGGCUAGCCCAGAUCCCCUCUUCCCCCUCCUCUCUCCCGUUCUCCCAGGCUAGCCCAGAUCCCCUCUUCCCCCUCUCCCCUCCUCUCUCCCGUUCUCCCAGGCUAGCCCAGAUCCCCUCUCCCCUCCUCUCUCCCGUUCUCCCAGGCUAGCCCAGAUCCCCUCUUCCCACUCUCCCCUCCUCUCUCCCGUUCUCCCAGGCUAGCCCAGAUCCUCUCUCCCCUCUCCCCUCCUCUCUCCCCCUCUCCCAGGCUAGCCCAGAUCCUCUCUCCCCCUCUCCCAGGCUAGCCCAGAUCCUCUCUCCCCCUCUCCCCACCUCUCUCCCCCUCUCCCAGGCUAGCCCAGAUCCUCUCUCCCCCUC
Long non-coding RNA from Salmo trutta (river trout), 5224 nucleotides. The record is from Ensembl. Lineage: Eukaryota; Metazoa; Chordata; Actinopteri; Salmoniformes; Salmonidae.